This 252-nucleotide ribosomal RNA is filed under the name uncultured bacterium. Its description in RNAcentral is "partial 16S ribosomal RNA". It matches the Rfam family "Bacterial small subunit ribosomal RNA", at positions 524 to 776 of the family's 1533-position model. The record is from RNAcentral.
UACGAAGGGGGCUAGCGUUGCUCGGAAUUACUGGGCGUAAAGGGCGCGUAGGCGGGUCGUUAAGUUAGAGGUGAAAGCCCAGGGCUCAACCCUGGAAUUGCCUUUGAUACUGGCGGCCUUGAGUAUGGCAGAGGUGUGUGGAACUCCGAGUGUAGAGGUGAAAUUCGUAGAUAUUCGGAGAACACCAGUGGCGAAGGCGACACACUGGGACGGUACUGACGCUGAGACGCGAAAGCGUGGGGAGCGAACAGG